GAGCUUGCUCCUCUGACGUUAGCGGCGGACGGGUGAGUAACACGUGGAUAACCUACCUAUAAGACUGGGAUAACUUCGGGAAACCGGAGCUAAUACCGGAUAAUAUAUUGAACCGCAUGGUUCAAUAGUGAAAGACGGUUCUGCUGUCACUUAUAGAUGGAUCCGCGCCGCAUUAGCUAGUUGGUAAGGUAACGGCUUACAAAGGCAAACGAUGCGUAGCCGACUUGAGAGGUUGAUCGCCCACACUGGAAGUGAGACGCGCUCCAGACUCAUACGGGACACACCAGUAGGAUAUCUUCCGCAAUGGGAAAACGCGUGAGGGACCAACGCCGCGUGAGUGAUGAAGUUCUGCGGAUCGUAAAACUCUGUUAUGAGGGAAGAACAAAUGUGUAAGUAAAUAGGCAUGUCUGGACGGUACUUAAUCAGAAAGCCGCGGCUAAAUACGUGCCAGCAGCCGCGGUAAUACGUAGGUGGCAAGCGUUAUCCGGAAUUAUUGGGCGUAAAGCGCGCGUAGGCGGUUUUUUAAGUCUGAUGUGAAAGCCCACGGCUCAACCGUGGAGGGUCAUUGGAAACUGGAAAACUUGAGUGCAGAAGAGGAAAGUGGAAUUCCAUGUGUAGCGGUGAAAUGCGCAGAGAUAUGGAGGAACACCAGUGGCGAAGGCGACUUUCUGGUCUGUAACUGACGCUGGUGUGCGAAAGCGUGGGGAUCAAACAGGAUUAG
This 721-nucleotide ribosomal RNA is filed under the name uncultured Staphylococcus sp. RNAcentral's name for it is "bacterial SSU rRNA". It matches the Rfam family "Bacterial small subunit ribosomal RNA", at positions 76 to 781 of the family's 1533-position model. The record is from RNAcentral. Lineage: Bacteria; Bacillati; Bacillota; Bacilli; Caryophanales; Staphylococcaceae.